RNAcentral lists this unclassified non-coding RNA (279 nucleotides) under plant metagenome. RNAcentral's name for it is "partial contains small subunit ribosomal RNA, internal transcribed spacer 1, and 5.8S ribosomal RNA". The record is from RNAcentral.
UCUCCGUUGGUGAACCAGCGGAGGGAUCAUUACAGAGUUUUCACAACUCCCAACCCUUGCAAACCGUACCCAUUCUGUUCUCGUUGCUUCCGGCGGGGGGGACUGGCGGGCCCGAAACGGCGUCCCCGCCCCGCCCCCCGGGGGCGGCGGGGACUACGAAACUUUAUAUCUCAAAAACCUGAACCCGGCUUAGAAAAGAAACAACAUAAUCAAAACUCUCAACAACGGAUCUCUUCGCGCGGGCAUCGAUGAAUCACGCAGCAGAACCGAAGAUCACCC